RNAcentral lists this ribosomal RNA (568 nucleotides) under uncultured bacterium. Its description in RNAcentral is "partial 16S ribosomal RNA". It matches the Rfam family "Bacterial small subunit ribosomal RNA", at positions 355 to 936 of the family's 1533-position model. The record is from RNAcentral.
UGGGGAAUAUUGGACAAUGGGCGCAAGCCUGAUCCAGCCAUGCCGCGUGAGUGAUGAAAGGCCCUUAGGGUUGUAAAGCUCUUUCGCCGACGAAAGAUAAUGACGGUAGUCGGAGAAGAAGCCCCGGCUAACUUCGUGCCAGCAGCCGCGGUAAUACGAAGGGGGCUAGCGUUGUUCGGAAUCACUGGGCGUAAAGCGCACGUAGGCGGAUUGUUAAGUCAGGGGUGAAAGCCUGGAGCUCAACUCCAGAACUGCCCUUGAUACUGGCAAUCUCGAGUCCGGAAGAGGUAAGUGGAACUGCGAGUGUAGAGGUGAAAUUCGUAGAUAUUCGCAAGAACACCAGUGGCGAAGGCGGCUUACUGGUCCGGUACUGACGCUGAGGUGCGAAAAGCGUGGGGAGCAAAACAGGAUUAGAUACCCUGGUAGUCCACGCCGUAAACGAUGGAGGCUAGCCGUUGGCGAGCAUGCUCGUCAGUGGCGCAGCUAACGCAUUAAGCCUCCCCGCCCUGGGGGAGUACGGUCGCAAGAUUAAAAACUUAAAUGAAUUGACGGGGGUCAUAGCUGUUUU